AGAGGUUGCCCUUGGUGAAUUCGCUUUAUUGAUGUUGAAUCACACAAAGGCAACUUUUGG
Molecule: microRNA precursor, 60 nt
Filed under: Rattus norvegicus (Norway rat)
Lineage: Eukaryota; Metazoa; Chordata; Mammalia; Rodentia; Muridae
Source: RNAcentral